This 407-nucleotide ribosomal RNA is filed under the name uncultured bacterium. RNAcentral describes it as "partial 16S ribosomal RNA". It matches the Rfam family "Bacterial small subunit ribosomal RNA", at positions 30 to 526 of the family's 1533-position model. The record is from RNAcentral.
AUUGAACGCUGGCGGCAGGCCUAACACAUGCAAGUCGAGCGGAGCGGCGGACGGGUGAGUAAUGCCUAGGAAUCUGCCUGGUCGUGGGGGAUAACGUCCGGAAACGGGCGCUAAUACCGCAUACUAUCAGAUGAGCCUCGGUCGGAUUAGCUAGUUGGUGGGGUAUAGGCCUACCAAGGCGACGAUCCGUAACUGGUCUGAGAGGAUGAUCAGUCCCACUGGAACGGAGACACGGUCCAGACUACUACGGGAGGCAGCAGUGGGGAAUAUUGGACAAUGGGCGAAAGCCUGAACCAGCCAUGCCGCGUGUGUGGAGAAUGUCUUCGGAUUGUAAAGCACUUUAAGUUGGGAGGCGUUACCAACAGAAGAAGCACCGGCUAACUUCGUGCCAGCCGCCGCGGUAAUUC